AGUGAACGCUGGCGGUAGGCCUAACACAUGCAAGUCGAACGGCAGCACAGUAAGAGCUUGCUCUUACGGGUGGCGAGUGGCGGACGGGUGAGGAAUACAUCGGAAUCUACUUUUUCGUGGGGGAUAACGUAGGGAGACUUACGCUAAUACCGCAUACGACCUACGGGUGAAAGCAGGGGAUCUUCGGACCUUGCGCGAUUGAAUGAGCCGAUGUCGGAUUAGCUAGUUGGCGGGGUAAAGGCCCACCAAGGCGACGAUCCGUAGCUGGUCUGAGAGGAUGAUCAGCCACACUGGAACUGAGACACGGUCCAGACUCCUACGGGAGGCAGCAGUGGGGAAUAUUGGACAAUGGGCGCAAGCCUGAUCCAGCCAUACCGCGUGGGUGAAGAAGGCCUUCGGGUUGUAAAGCCCUUUUGUUGGGAGAGAAAAGCAGCAGGUUAAUACCCCGCUGUUCUGACGGUACCCAAAGAAUAAGCACCGGCUAACUUCGUG
RNAcentral lists this ribosomal RNA (492 nucleotides) under uncultured bacterium. RNAcentral's name for it is "partial 16S ribosomal RNA". It matches the Rfam family "Bacterial small subunit ribosomal RNA", at positions 29 to 507 of the family's 1533-position model. The record is from RNAcentral.